Molecule: ribosomal RNA, 406 nt
Filed under: uncultured bacterium
Lineage: Bacteria
Description: partial 16S ribosomal RNA
Rfam family: Bacterial small subunit ribosomal RNA
Source: RNAcentral
AUUGAACGCUGGCGGCAGGCCUAACACAUGCAAGUCGAACGAAUGGCGGACGGGUGAGUAAUGUCUGGGAACCUGCCUGGUGGAUGGGGAUAACUACUGGAAACGGUAGCUAAUACCGCAUACCAUCAGAUGUGCCCAGAUGGGAUUAGCUAGGUGGUGGGGUAACGGCUAACCAAGGCGACGAUCCCUAGCUGGUCUGAGAGGAGGACCAGCCACACUGGAACUGAGACACGGCCCAGACUCCUACGGGAGGCAGCAGUGGGGAAUAUUGGACAAUGGGCGCAAGCCUGAUGCAGCCAUGCCGCGUGUAUGAAGAAGGCCUUCGGGUUGUAAAGUACUUUUAGCGGGGAGGCGUUACCCGCAGAAUAAGCACCGGCUAACUACGUGCCAGCAGCCGCGGUAAUAC